AUUGAACGCUGGCGGCGUGCUUAACACAUGCAAGUCGUGCGGUAACAGGCGUAGCAAUACGUGCUGACGAGCGGCGAACGGGUGCGUAAUACAUGGGAAUCUGCCUUUUAGUGGGGAAUAACCCGGCGAAAGCCGGGCUAAUGCCGCAUAAGAUCUUUGGAUGAAAGCGGGGAGUCGUAAGACCUCGCGCUGAUAGAUGAGCCCACUGCC
This 210-nucleotide ribosomal RNA is filed under the name uncultured bacterium. RNAcentral's name for it is "partial 16S ribosomal RNA". It matches the Rfam family "Bacterial small subunit ribosomal RNA", at positions 30 to 238 of the family's 1533-position model. The record is from RNAcentral.